ACAUGCAAGUCGAACGAGAAAGCCGGAGCAAUCUGGUGAGUAAAGUGGCGUACGGGUGAGUAACACGUGGAUUAUCUACCUCUUAGUGGGGAAUAACGCUGGGAAACUGGCGCUAAUACCGCAUAAGCUCGUGAGAGGAAAGCAGCAAUGCGCUGAGAGAGGAGUCCGCGGCCGAUUAGCUAGUUGGCAGGGUAAUGGCCUACCAAGGCAAAGAUCGGUAGCCGGCCUGAGAGGGCACACGGCCACACUGGCACUGAAACACGGGCCAGACUCCUACGGGAGGCAGCAGUGGGGAAUCUUGCACAAUGGGGGAAACCCUGAUGCAGCGACGCCGUGUGAGCGAUGAAGCCCUUCGGGGUGUAAAGCUCUUUCGGCAGGAACGAUAAUGACGGUACCUGAAGAAGAAGCUGCGGCUAACUACGUGCCAGCAGCCGCGGUAAUACGUAGGCAGCGAGCGUUGUUCGGAG
RNAcentral lists this ribosomal RNA (467 nucleotides) under uncultured soil bacterium. RNAcentral's name for it is "bacterial SSU rRNA". It matches the Rfam family "Bacterial small subunit ribosomal RNA", at positions 53 to 550 of the family's 1533-position model. The record is from RNAcentral.